Molecule: ribosomal RNA, 488 nt
Filed under: uncultured Lachnospiraceae bacterium
Lineage: Bacteria; Bacillati; Bacillota; Clostridia; Lachnospirales; Lachnospiraceae
Description: partial 16S ribosomal RNA
Source: RNAcentral
CACGUAGUUAGCCGGGGCUUCUUAAUCAGGUACCGUCAUUUUCUUCCCUGCUGAUAGAGCUUUACAUACCGAAAUACUUCUUCACUCACGCGGCGUCGCUGCAUCAGGGCUUCCCCCAUUGUGCAAUAUUCCCCACUGCUGCCUCCCGUAGGAGUUUGGGCCGUGUCUCAGUCCCAAUGUGGCCGUUCACCCUCUCAGGCCGGCUACUGAUCGUCGCCUUGGUGAGCCAUUACCCCACCAACAAGCUAAUCAGACGCGGAACCAUCGUAUACCACCAGAGUUUUUCACACCACUUCAUGCGAAGCUGUGCGCUUAUGCGGUAUUAGCACCUAUUUCUAAGUGUUAUCCCCCAGUAUACGGCAGGUUUUCCACGCGUUACUCACCCGUCCGCCACUAACUCAUAAAUCACUAGGUUUCAAUAUGAGUCCGUUCGACUUGCAUGUGUUAAGCACGCCGCCAGCGUUCAUCCUGAGCCAGGAUCAAACUCU